GAUGAACGCUGGCGGCGUGCCUAAUACAUGCAAGUCGAGCGAACAGACGAGGAUCUUGCUCCUCUGACGUUAGCGGCGGACGGGUGAUGAACACGUGGAUAACCUACCUAUAAGACUGGGAUAACUUCGGGAAACCGGAGCUAAUACCGGAUAAUAUAUUGAACCGCAUGGUUCAAUAGUGAAAGACGGAUUUGCUGUCACUAAUAGAUGGAUCCUCGCCGCAUUAGCUAGUUGGUAAGGUAACGGCUUACCAAGGCAACGAUGCGUAGCCGACCUGAGAGGGUGAUCGGCCACACUGGAACUGAGACACGGUCCAGACUCCUACGGGAGGCAGCAGUAGGGAAUCUUCCGCAAUGGGCGAAAGCUUGACGGAGCAACGCCGCGUGAGUGAUGAAGGUCUUCGGAUCGUAAAACUCUGUUAUUAGGGAAGAACAAAUGUGUAAGUAACUAUGCACGUCUUGACGGUACCUACUCAGAAAGCCACGGCUAACUACGUG
RNAcentral lists this ribosomal RNA (497 nucleotides) under uncultured bacterium. Its description in RNAcentral is "partial 16S ribosomal RNA". It matches the Rfam family "Bacterial small subunit ribosomal RNA", at positions 28 to 507 of the family's 1533-position model. The record is from RNAcentral.